CAGAAAAUGCAAAUUACCCUAUAUUUUCGUUAAGAAGACAGUCAAGAAGGAAUAUUAUGUUUUUUAAGGCUGAACAGUGGUCCUACAGUAUUUGGCAUUAGCAAUCUCAGGGAAAGAUGCCAGUGUAUCAGGCCUUUUUGUUAUGGAGAAGUUCUGGCAUAAAUUUGAGAACCAGGACUGCAGGGAUUUAGGUGUUCUGGAACAGGUGACAAACUUCCUUUCACUACUAGGCCAUGCUUAGAAGGACACAGCUGCUCAGGACCUUUCAGAGGAGCAGGCCAGCACUCUUAAUCUGAAUACAUAAAAUUGUGCCAAUUGCUUGGACUUUUAGUUCAGAGCAGACUGCAGCUUGUCUGGUCAGUCUCGUGGCUGCCUUGAGUGUCAACCUCCUAAUCCUGCCUGGCUCAAUCCUGGCCCUGCUCUUUGGGCUUCACUCUGCUUUAGAAAGACCUAAAAAGAAAAGGUCUUUCUCUGUCGGGCUUUGGCUCUUUCCUUGGAGGACAAAUUCUUCCCACUCUGAAGAUUUGGUGUCUGCCUUGGAGAACCCACAGGCACAGCUGCAUUUUGAAAACAAAAGAUCAGGAGGCAAAGUCACCACCCACAAGCAGAAUUUGCAGCUCUGCAGCCAUCGGGGACUGGUGCAAAUGGGCCUGAUGCAGAUGCCAGAGAACAUACUGCCAAGUGACACCAGGGAACAGCAAGAACUGAAAGUAUAACCUAAUCUAGGGUGAGAACAAUAUCUACUUUUGCAUAUUUAGCAGGGAUAGCCUUGGGCCAUGAACUGAGGCUUAACUUUGCCCACAUCAUAAUAUACCUUUCAUAUUUUUGUAAUCAGCAGUUUGGGUCAAUCUAUUGUACAAACCAUGUAAUGUCUGCAAAAUAAGGUGGUGGAUGCACCUCCAGUUUGAUGCCCCUCAGUAGAC
This 923-nucleotide long non-coding RNA is filed under the name Taeniopygia guttata (zebra finch). RNAcentral describes it as "lncRNA (ENSTGUG00000020590.1)". The record is from RNAcentral. Lineage: Eukaryota; Metazoa; Chordata; Aves; Passeriformes; Estrildidae.